This is a long non-coding RNA of Anser brachyrhynchus (Pink-footed goose), 1997 nucleotides long. The record is from Ensembl. Lineage: Eukaryota; Metazoa; Chordata; Aves; Anseriformes; Anatidae.
AUUAGUUCCAUCAAUGUAAUCUGGAAAUCUUUUUUUUUAUGCAGACCCAUCUCUAUACAGAAAACUCCUUAACAGAAACACAGCUCUUUUAUCAAUUGCCUGCCCUAUUCAUAGCAAUUCAUACCAAUUAAUAACAACCAGGAUGGCACUUCAAGGUAAAUGCAGCCAUAUGCUUUUGAAUGCAUAAGAUCUCCUGUACUCAGUGCUGCUGUUAAAGCAGUUCUGUGAAGAACCUGUCCUAAAUAUGCAGGAUAAUCUUUUCUGUAAGCCUUUCCACAAGGCUUGGCUUGAGAGCAUGGCAAAGGUAUGUAUAUUAUGCUCAUUAUUCCAGGGGAGGCUACCUAUCAGAUGUUAUCCUGACUGAUAUUGACUGUUAUUGGACAAUUGGAUAUUCAACAGAAUGGUUUAACCAUCACCAAAGCAAGCAGAGGAUUGAAUUCAGCUGAAGUAAGUGAAGCCAAUGCUCUUUCACAACUAGGUUAGUGUUUGCUAAGCAAUGUCUCCACCUGGUAUUUUAAGUGCAUGUUAUAUAUUACAUAACAUCUGUGAAAGCAUGAGAAAGCUCUCUGGUGGCUGGAAGGCAUGGGUUCAGUCAGGUUUACAAAUAUACAAGCAGCCAGCCUUCUCCAAAAUGACAGUUACUAGGGAUGCGUCUAAUUCUUGCUAGAUACUUGCUCUACUUGCCAGAUAAAGACUUGUCUUUUAAAUGAAAGAAUCCAGUUUCCAGAGGUAUGUGUUUUUUCUUGUAUCUUGUAUAAUUUUCAUGCGUAUUUCACAGGUAGUCUAUGCAAUACAACGUGAAUAUUUCAAGUUUUUUUGUUUUGUUUGUUUGUUCUUUCAGACCGUGGAGUUCUCUGCUAUAGUUUUGGUAUCACUAUUGGUGGCACAGGACUGUUUGGGGCUAGUAAAUGGCAGCCUCUCUGACAAGAGCUCCUUAGGUUAUUGAUAACCAGAGGAAUUACAUACAGCUGCUAUCCCAUGCUAAAGAGAUGUACGGAAGAGGGGGAAGAGAUAUGAUAGAACACUUCUUUCUAUAAAGUUGUCUGCCUACACCAUUGUGGCAGAUGUCACAGCACAUCCCAUGUUCAAGUAUGUGGCCACACGUACUGCAGCUCUAUAGCAGGUGAGACGCUCAUACACACAUGCAGUCAUGUCCCCUCUCCACACAAGUGGUGGUCUGUCAUGUUCACACAGGUGCCCAGCAUGGAAUCCCACAGGCAGUCUCUGUGGAGAUAAGUGGACAGAAAGUUUGCUGAUGGCUUCUCAGUUCUUUACUUUCUCGGCUCAAAGAAUCCCACUAACUCCUGGCCUUCCUUCUCUCUGACUUCUGGGAACUGGUCAAAUAUUCCUCACUUCAUCUCUUCUCCCUUCAAAUCUUGUCCUCUUAGAGGCAGGUCCCAUGGAAGACAGGUCAAUAAUAAGCAGCAGUGGUCCACUGCUUCAUUUUCAGGGAUGUGAAGCCAUCAUCUUGUCACCAUGUUGGGAUAUGAUGGAAGUGUCUUCAGAGCAGGCAUUUAAACCCAAGCUAGCCUACCGUUCUUGUUCUAUACCCAUGCACCGUGCAAUGCAGACUCCUGAAGGUAGGUGAGAUGGAUCCCACCCACUCUGUCUCAUCACCAGCAUGCCUGAGAAUCCACUGCCGUUUGACUUUCCAGAUGCUCCCAGCAAGUCUGAGAAAACAGUGACUCCUGCACCACAACAGGUGCAUUGAUACAUGGCUGUUAAGCACCAGGGUGUGGGAGAGGUAGGACCAAUUAUCAGGACACUUGGCAGAUACAUCUGCACUUCUGCAAGCAUCCCUUUUAGCAGAGGAAGUGAGAAAAGAAAGCAGAGAAAGCAUUUCAGGAAGAAUAGAGUGAACUCAGCACAGACCUACAAUAGUCCUUCCUAACAUUUUGCAUACGUGGAACUGCAAAAUUCCCCAUUGUGGAAUGGGUGACAAGACAUCUAUGCUUGGUUCAGUUAGGCUUUAAUAAAUUGCUCUCCCUGUCUUUCCA